UUCCAUAUACCUAGCGGCCAGGAUUCCUGGUUUUCACCCAGGUGGUCCGGGUUUGACUCCCGGUAUGGGAA
This is a non-coding RNA of Danio rerio (zebrafish), 71 nucleotides long. The record is from Rfam. NCBI's taxonomy places the organism in Eukaryota, Metazoa, Chordata, Actinopteri, Cypriniformes, Danionidae.